This is a non-coding RNA of Pelobates cultripes (western spadefoot toad), 1017 nucleotides long. Lineage: Eukaryota; Metazoa; Chordata; Amphibia; Anura; Pelobatidae. The record is from the annotation of a GenBank genome assembly.
GUUUUUUUCAUACUAGAAUACUUGGUAGCUUUUUCUGCAAGUCUUUCUCCAAUUCUCCUGUCAAUGGGGUUUUUUUUUUUUCGUUUAAAAAAAAAAAAAAAUUAUUGCAGUUUUGUCAGAGAUACAACAGCAUUUCUUAGACAGAGUGGUUCAUUCAGUCAACAUGACAGGGUAUUGAAUAUUUUCAUUUGUAUAUUGUACAUAUCAGCAUUCUGUAUGGACUAUGUUCGAACAGUUGUGUGGUAUGGUCUGUGAAUGGCCUGAACUUCGUGUUUCAGUCAUCAGAUAGAGUUAUUUCGUAGGAACUGGACCCAUGGGUCCCAGAUAUGUGUGUAUUCCUGGUACUGAUGUGUUAGUGAGUAGCAUGUCUCUUCCAGGUUUCUGAUAGUUUCUACCUUUUGUAACCAUUCCCGUGUAGUGGGUGCAUGUGGCUGUUUCCAAAGGGCUGGGAUGAGUUGAUUGGCUGCUGUGAUGAGAUGUAUCAAAAGUGUUCUCUCAUGUUUAUGCAUUUCUAGGGGUGGAAGGAGAAAGAUGUAUGUAUCUGGGUGUAGUGGGAUGUGCAUCCUGAGGAUCUUGUAUAGUGCCCCUGAAAUGCGUGUCCAGUAUUUGCGGAUCUCGGGACAGGUCCACCAUAUGUGUGUGGUUGUGCUUUCGGUUUGCUGGCAUCUCCUGUCUCGGGACAGGUCCAGCAUCUGUCUACGGUUGUGGGGAAGAGACGAUGAAGUUUCGACGGUGUGUAGUGCCACCUGGCUAUCCGUUUAUAGUUGCUUUCCUGUGCUAUUGUAUUUCUCGAGGUUUUGUGUAUUUAUCUGAAAAUCUGUUUCCAUUUGUUUUUGGGUAUCUCUAUCUGUAGUUCUCUUUCCCAAGUGGUGGUGAACGUUGGUAGGUUGUGGGUGGUUGUUGCUUGGAUAGUAGUGUACAUUAGUGAGAUGUGUUUCUUUUUGAUAUCUUGUUUGGAGCAGUGGAGUUCAAAUGCUGUGUGUGGUCGGCUCUGUCCCAGUGUUAGUGGUACUGAGU